GCUAAAAAUCUAGCCCCCCAUAAUCCCAUGAAUCUUGUAAAUUACACUCACCCCCUAAAACAUUUUUAAAAUUUAGUAAAGGCGAUUAAAAAAUUAUUAGGAGCUAUAUAAAUAGUACCGCAAGGGAAAGAUGAAAUAAAAAUGAAAUAAAUUUUAAGCACAAAAAAGUAGAGAUUUAACCUCGUACCUUUUGCAUCAUGGUUUAACUAGUUAAAUUAAGCAAAAAGACUUGUAGUUUAACUUCCCGAAACUAAGCGAGCUACUUCAAGGCAGCUUACUGAGCAAACCCGUCUCUGUUGCAAAAGAGUGGGAAGACCUUCAAGUAGAGGUGACAGACCUAACGAGCUUAGUGAUAGCUGGUUACUCAAGAAAAAGAUUUUAGUCUAACCUAAAGUUUCACUAAUAAUUUAAAAUUAUAUAUUUACUUUAGAGCAAUUCAAAUAAGGUACAGCCUAUUUGAAACAGGAUACAACCUCUCAAGAUGGGUAAUCAUAUUUUCUAAUAAUUAAGUAGGCUUAAAAGCAGCCACCUUUAAAAUAGCGUCAAAGCUUCGUUAUUUUCAACAUUAAUUCCUAAAAUCACUUAGAACCCUCCAUCACUAUUGAGUACUUCUAUACAAAUAUAGAAUAUUUUAUGUUAAAACUAGUAACAAGAAGUAGAACUUCACUUAAAUGUGAGUGUAAGUCAGAAAGGACACACCACUGACCAUUAACAUACAUGAAAAUAUAUUAACAACUUCACAAGAAAAAAUUAAUUAUUAUUAUGUUAAUCUAACACCAGAACAUUUCAAGUAAGAUUAAAAGAAAAAGAAGGAACUCGGCAAAUAUUAACCUCGCCUGUUUACCAAAAACAUCGCCUCUUGCCCCCAUAUAAGAGGUCCAGCCUGCCCAGUGACUCUGUUCAACGGCCGCGGUAUCCUAACCGUGCGAAGGUAGCGUAAUCACUUGUUCUUUAAAUGAGGACUAGUAUGAAUGGCAUCACGAAGGUUAUACUGUCUCCUUUUUCUAAUCAGUGAAACUAAUCUCCCCGUGAAGAAGCGGGGAUAAUGAUAUAAGACGAGAAGACCCUAUGGAGCUUUAAACUAAAUGGCACUUGCUUUUAUAUGCACCCUUCUUCAGAGAAAUUAACACUUACUUUAGCUUGCUGACUAUUAGUUUUAGGUUGGGGUGACCGCGGAGCACAAAACAACCUCCACGUUGAAUGGGGCUUCCCCCUGAGCUAGGAGCCACGACUCUAAGCACCAAUAAAUUGACAUCAAUUGACCCAGUAUACUGAUCAACGAACCAAGUUACCCUAGGGAUAACAGCGCAAUCCGUUUCAAGAGCCCCUAUCGACAAACGGGUUUACGACCUCGAUGUUGGAUCAGGGUAUCCCAGUGGUGCAGCCGCUACUAAAGGUUCGUUUGUUCAACGAUUAAAACCCU
Molecule: ribosomal RNA, 1423 nt
Filed under: Smilisca baudinii (Mexican treefrog)
Lineage: Eukaryota; Metazoa; Chordata; Amphibia; Anura; Hylidae
Description: partial 16S ribosomal RNA
Rfam family: Bacterial large subunit ribosomal RNA
Source: RNAcentral